RNAcentral lists this long non-coding RNA (598 nucleotides) under Homo sapiens (human). Its description in RNAcentral is "HSALNT0357439". Lineage: Eukaryota; Metazoa; Chordata; Mammalia; Primates; Hominidae. The record is from RNAcentral.
AUUCCAUUAGCUUCCUUUGGAUGAUGAUUCCAUUCGAGUCCAUUCGAUGAUGAUCACAUUGGAUUUCAUUCCAUAAUUCUACUCGAUUCCAUUUGAUGAUGAUUCCAUCUGAUUCCAUUUGAUGAUUCCAUUUGAUUCCAUUAGAUGAUGAUUCCAUUCGUUUCCAUCCGAUGAUGAUUCCAUUUGAUUCCGUUCAAUGAUUAUUCCAUUUGAGUCCAUUCGAUGAUUCCAUUCGAUUCCAUUUGAUGAUGAUUGCAUUCGAGUCCAUGGAUUAUUCCAUUCCAUUCCAUUAGAUGGUUCCAUUCGAGUCCAUUCGAUGAUUCUCUUCGAUUGCAUUUGAUAAUUCCAUUUGAUUCCGUUUGACGUUGAUUCCAUUUGAGUCCAUUCAAUGAUAAUUCCAUUCGAUUCUAUGCGAUGAUUCCAUUCCUUUCCAUUUGAAGGUGAUUCCAUUCGAGACCAUUCGAUGAUUGCAUUCAAUUCAUUCGAUGACGAUUCCAUUCAAUUCCGUUCAAUGAUUCUAUUAGAUUCCAUUUAAUGAUGAUUCCAUUCGAUUCCAUUUGAUGAUGAUUCCAUACGAUUCCAUUAGAUGAUGACUCCU